GACGAACGCUGGCGGCGUGCUUAACACAUGCAAGUCGAACGGAAAGGCCCUGCUUUUGUGGGGUGCUCGAGUGGCGAACGGGUGAGUAACACGUGAGUAACCUGCCCUUGACUUUGGGAUAACUUCAGGAAACUGGGGCUAAUACCGGAUAGGAGCUCCUGCUGCAUGGUGGGGGUUGGAAAGUUUCGGCGGUUGGGGAUGGACUCGCGGCUUAUCAGCUUGUUGGUGGGGUAGUGGCUUACCAAGGCUUUGACGGGUAGCCGGCCUGAGAGGGUGACCGGCCACAUUGGGACUGAGAUACGGCCCAGACUCCUACGGGAGGCAGCAGUGGGGAAUAUUGCACAAUGGGCGGAAGCCUGAUGCAGCAACGCCGCGUGCGGGAUGACGGCCUUCGGGUUGAAAACCGCUUUCGCCUGUGACGAAGCGUGAGUGACGGUAAUGGGUAAAGAAGCACCGGCUAACUACGU
Molecule: ribosomal RNA, 467 nt
Filed under: uncultured bacterium
Lineage: Bacteria
Description: partial 16S ribosomal RNA
Rfam family: Bacterial small subunit ribosomal RNA
Source: RNAcentral